Molecule: ribosomal RNA, 372 nt
Filed under: uncultured bacterium
Lineage: Bacteria
Description: bacterial SSU rRNA
Rfam family: Bacterial small subunit ribosomal RNA
Source: RNAcentral
ACGAAGGGGGCUAGCGUUGCUCGGAAUGACUGGGCGUAAAGGGCGCGUAGGCGGAUGACAUAGUCGGGCGUGAAAUUCCUGGGCUCAACCUGGGGACUGCGUUCGAGACGUGUUGUCUUGAGUUCGGAAGAGGGUCGUGGAAUUCCCAGUGUAGAGGUGAAAUUCGUAGAUAUUGGGAAGAACACCGGUGGCGAAGGCGGCGACCUGGUCCGAUACUGACGCUGAGGCGCGAAAGCGUGGGGAGCAAACAGGAUUAGAUACCCUGGUAGUCCACGCUGUAAACGAUGUGCGCUGGAUGUUGGGUGACCUAGUCACUCAGUGUCGUAGCUAACGCGAUAAGCGCACCGCCUGGGGAGUACGGCCGCAAGGUUG